Long non-coding RNA from Gopherus evgoodei (Goodes thornscrub tortoise), 1021 nucleotides. RefSeq lists it as uncharacterized. NCBI's taxonomy places the organism in Eukaryota, Metazoa, Chordata, Testudines, Testudinidae. The transcript is spliced from 2 exons. The record is from RefSeq and is a predicted model, not a curated record.
UGGUCCCUUCUGACCUUAAAGUCUAUGACUCUACAGAGUUAACUGUUUGCUGAGCAUGGGAAUUAGAGGAUGUGUUAGGGAACAUUGCACAGAGCUGAGUAGCAAUUGGAGAAGCAGUGAUCAGCAGUCCUCUUUUUGGAAUAACCUAUGAGAUAGACUUCACUUUUUUGUGCAUACAGCUCUCUUUGCACAGUCUGCUUCCCCGUGGCUGGGGCCCAGCUCAAGGAGUACAGCUUUUUUGUGGCUCUGAGCCAAGUUGGCUGCUGGAAGCUGGAGAUACAGUAUGAAAGAGAGAACGUCAGUAGACAUGGACUGAAAGAUUGUGGGGGAGAAAAAAUAAGGAUGGAAUGGAAUGCUGGGGGGAGAGAAAAAUCUAGUUAUGUUAGUAUUUGGGGACUGCAGCAAUAAGAACUCAGAAGCUGUCAGUCACCGCUCCUGCAGGACGAUGACAACUCCUCCCAGGGCUAAUGGAGACAGACAGCUGCCUGUUUCUGCAGGGAAAGGGAUCAGAGCCAAGCGUACAGAUUUUCUAUUUCGACAGAAGUGCCACAGGAAUACUUCAAGACUCCUGAAUUAGGCACUGGAAGGGUUAGGUCAAGUAUUUGGCUGCUGCAUCUGGAGGAGAUGCACUAGCCUUUCAAAGGGGAGGAGAAAAGAGCACGCACUGCUUGGGUAACAGUCUCUGGCACAAAGGAGGGAGGAAGCCUUCUUCCCCAAAUAGGGCUAGCAGUGGGCUGGAGAUGUAACCAUGGGCACAAUGGCAGCUGAAAAACCUGCCGCAGGGUGCAUGCAAUUUCUUUUUUAAAGCCAUUAAAUUUUUAAAGCUUUGUUUAGGAUUUGCCAGUCUCUGCAUGGGAUUUUUCACACUAAUAUACUUGAUAUGCUGUGUCACUAGGUGUGACCAGCAUAUGUUACCAUCUGUUUCAUUAGAUAUCUAUAAGCAAUUAGUUGCUUUUCAAGCAUUUCAAAAAUAUGAAUGUAAGGAUGUGGAACAGUUAUUAAAAACAAGAUGUUUAUCUGA